RNAcentral lists this long non-coding RNA (6393 nucleotides) under Citrus maxima (pomelo). RNAcentral describes it as "long non-coding RNA (CMAX_LNC002615)". The record is from RNAcentral. Lineage: Eukaryota; Viridiplantae; Streptophyta; Magnoliopsida; Sapindales; Rutaceae.
AAUUUCUUGAAAACUAAGUGCCCGCCGCCACCACCAACAGACGGCUUAGGCAGUACUAGGGACCCAACAGUGGCACUAGAAUUUGUGACGCCUAAUCGCUUGGACAACAAGUACUACCUGGAAUUGAAGAAUCGUCGAGGGUUGUUGACUUCAGAUCAGACUUUGAUGGACAGCCGGUUAACAUCAAAGAUGGUAUUGGACAAUGCAAUGAAUGGAGCAAUGUGGGGAACAAAAUUUGCUAAAGCAAUGGUGCAUAUGGGAUCCCUUGAUGUGCUCACUGGCUCACAGGGUGAGAUCAGGAAGCGUUGCAGCUUCGUGAAUUGAAACUUUCCAACAGGUUUAAUUUGCUUCCGCUGGUGAUGAAAUCAUUUUCAUUCUUUAAUCAUUUUGUUCGAAAUUCUUUUGUAUUAGAUCGAUGUCCAAAUGUAAGUGUGAAUUGACUGGUUAACUAAUUGUAAUAUUAAUUAGUAUUAAUACAUUUCAAGCAUUCCAAUUUUGUAAAGUGUAAAUUGUUUUCUGUUCUGUAACUUGAGAUGCAGUCUGUCAUUUCUAUUCCAAUUACAUAUAUAAACGUUUCUUUUAAAAAUGAAGUAAACAAUUAUAUGUCAUUUUCUUCGUGGGGUUCAGACUCAAUCUCCAGACAAAUAUAUAUACGUUAGAUUAGAUUAGAUACAUGUCCAAAAAUGAUAAAACAUCUAGCCCUUCACAUGAAUGCACGUAAAGUUAAUUAUUAUGGAAUUAAAUCUCAGUUAUUAGUAAUAAUCAGAUGGUCUUUACCAUCAUGAUGCUCUAAUUAAUUAGUUCAUUAAAGUUGUAUUUUCUUUAUUGAUGAGAUAGUCCCCGGUUGACCGAGUAGACGGCUAAGGUGAGUUGUGUCAAUCAACCCAUUGUACGUGUUUCACUUGGAAAAAUGCUACUGUCCGAAAUGAAGUGACAAGAUUUUGCCCGCAAGACGAAAAUAUAGUAACCAUUAUGGGUAUUUUCGUCAACAUGUAAAAAGUAAACUGAAAUUUUACAUUAUUUUAUUUUACACAUUUCUGGUAAAGUCUGGCGAGCUUGCUUCAGAGUUCGCGCAAGGUAGCACUGUUGUUUUACUUCCGGCGGACUCUAAUAAAAAAUAACAAAAAAAGCAUUUAAAUUCUGAUGCAAUUUUAAUUAGUGCUAAAACUCUAAGGUGGUGUUUGGACAAUUUCACCCUAUAGUGUUAGUGUUAAACUUUCAAUAUUUACCAUAAAUAUAGUUAACAAAAUUAAACAAUAAAUUUAUUAAUAUAUUUUAUAAAUAAUUGAUAAAAAUUAUUUUAAAUACUACACUUAUAUUUAUAAUCAAACUCUAAUUAAAAAUUUUAUUAACAAAUUUUCAUUUUAUAAUUAAUUUAAUUUAAUUUGUUUCUAAAUAAAUUAUGAUAAAAUAUAAAUAAUUUCUUAAUUAAUAGAUUAUAAUUUAAAAAACCAAAAAGAAAAUAGUCGCUGCCGCCAUCAGCCAUCACUGUGCUUUCUCAUUUCAACUUGAGACUUAUGUGAAAGUGACCAUAAAUUGACCAUGUUUAAAUUGGAGCAACCUAUCUAGCUGAAAUGCUUGAUAUUGAUCCUGAAUUGUGAAAGUUAAAAAGUUUCCAAACUUUUUGAAUUAGAAUAUUAGAUUUCAACAAAAUAAACCCAUUUUUGGACCUCUUUGACAAUGGAAUGACGUCGCUUGUUGGUUGGUGAGUUUAAUGGUACUGGUGGUGAUGUUUCAUGCACCAAUGUUGGUGGCGACGGAAACUCUCCUAUGAUUGUUAAAUUUAUAUCUCUAUUUUUACAAUUAAUUAAAUAAAUAAAUGUAUUUAUAAAACUGUUUAAAUUAUUACUUUAACUUUAUUAUUAUAAAAUUGAUUAUCUACAAUAUUAAAUUGAUAAAAUAAAAUUAUAAAUAAUAAUUAUUUGAUAACAUUAAAUAAGUUAAUAAAAGAAUAAAGGAUAAUUUUAGAAGUUUUGGCUUCCAAUAGAAAAGAAUUUUGAAUUCAUCACUCUUUAUUGUGAAAUCUAAAUUGUACACUAUCAUUAAUAUUAAAUUCUAAUGAAAAUUAAUUCUUAUAUAUUAUGGCCGAACUAAACAACGAAAAUGAGAAAGGAAUUCAAAUUAUUUCCUAGCCCCUUUUCCCUUUCUCAAACCAAGCACCACACCUAAAGGUCGGUGAUCAUAGUAUUGUGCAAAUUUUAUUGAACUCGCAAGUGCACGAAUCUAUUGUAGAAUAGAUAAAUGGUGAUGAGUGUCGAUCCCACGAGGAGGUGACUUUUAAUUGUGUGCAGAAUUAAUUUUUCUAAGUGAGUGGUUAGAUUUGUGGUGAAAGUGACUUAUACUAUCCUAGAAUUUAAAUUGGAAUGGCAGAAUUAAAUUAAAGAGGAAACUAUUAUAAUUGAAGUGCUUGGAUAUCUGAAUCCGCAUCAACAUGCAUCAGGGGCUAAAUAUUCCUUAUUAGUGCCAAUUAAAUCAUGAGGGAGGAAUCCACACCUCAUGAACCGCACUCUAAUCAAUAUGGUGCUAAGGGCUUAUCGUGCCAAAUAAUAAGAACCUUGUACUAGGGAGCCGGUGAAACCAAGGCGGUAUCUAGACAAGAUUAUUAUUAUUUAUCGACGAAAAGUCAAAACAUGCACAAUAAUUAGAGGGGAAGAGAAAGUAAAUUUACUAAAAAAAAGCCCAUGGCACAUGUUGAGAUUUUACCUUCAACCCAAGCUUGAAAGGAAAUUAGCUACUCAUAAUUAAACCAUGGGUAAAAUGAAAAUUUCUUCAAAUACAUAGAAAAUACAAGAUGUAGAAUGAAUUACAGAAAAUGGAGCUAAAAAAUGAAUUCAGAGAUAUCACAUUAGGCGGGAAGACCCCAUUUUUAUAGAUACAUUGAGUAAAUCAUGGCCAUCGGAUUAAAAAUAUUUUGGACGCUCAGGAUUGCGCCACAUCAUCAGUCAACAGUACGCUGUUUGACCACGCGGUUUGAACAGUCAACCGACUUGAACAGUGACGCGGUUUGGUUGAAAAUAAUCAUGUGUAUAUGCAUAUACCGUACGCGCAAUUUUUGAUCCACUGAUAUGCUGCCACGUCACCGAUCAAUAGUGUAUAUAAAUUUUGUCCAAUAGAAUUGCGACACCUCAUCAGUUAAUGCAACAUCAUCGGUCAAUGUCACGUCAUCGUUCCGUAUGUGUGAACAGUGUCAUGAACAGUAACAUGGACAAUAUCGUACAUGUGAAUAGUGUCGUACAUGUAAACAGUGGCAUUUUUCAUUUUAUGCUCCUCCUAAGGUUUUCGACUGUCUUGAGUUCAAAAGUGAUGUCCAUUUUACCGUCUGAUUUCUCGUUCAUUGUGAAAUAACCAUGAUGCCCCUAAAAUACAUAAAAUACUUAAUUAAAAUAAAACACACGUAAUUAAAUCGCAAGAAGAUUAAAUAUAUAAAAGUAAGGGUGUUAGUAAGACUUGAAAUGUAAAAUGAUGAUUUUCUCCUUUAUAAAUAUACAUUUUCUAACAUUCAACACAUAGGAAAAUGAAUUCUCGUGAUUGGAUGUGGUAUCAUGGCUUUGAAUUUCUUAAGAUGAUGUGAAGACUUUUUUUUUUUAACUUCUUUAUUUUUAUCUGAAGAUCUGAUGUAUAAAAUUAAUCUACCUCAAGCAAUUAAUAUGCAUGUAAUUGCAUGAAAGCAGCAGUGGAUUAAACUGCUUAACGUACAAAUUAUGAAUUAAAAAAAGAAAAAAAAGUAAAGCUGACAAAUGAAGGAGGAUAAAGAUUGAUAGUUUAUUAAUUAAUUACAUUCUUAUGUCGAUGGAAGAAUAUAAGUUAGCAUAGAAAGGUUCAAAGUUGGAGAACUUCAAUCUACCUCAAGCAAUUAAUAUGCAUGUAAUUGCAUGAAAGCGUAUGGUUCAAAGAUAACUUCAAUCUACCAACAAGUGCGUAGAUCAACUGGUAAGUGGUUGUUCUAACUUAACUAAGGUCCUCAGUUCAAGGCUUGGGAAUGCAGCUGCGUUAAAUACUUAUUGGGAGAGUUUUAUCGUCCUAGUGGUCAUACCCGACUCGAAUCUGGAUUAAUCGAGGCCCAAUGUAGUUUUAGGAUACAAGAUGGUUUAAUAUACAAAAAAAAAAGAGAACUUCGAUCUACCUUAACCAAUUAAUAUGCAUGUAAUUGCAUGAAAGCAACAGUGGAUUAAACUGCUCAACGUACAAAUUAUGAAUAAAAAAAUAAAAAAGAAAAGAAAAGAAAAGAAAAGUAAAGCUGACAAAUGAAAGAGGAUAGAGAUUAAUAGUUUAUUAAUUAAUUACAUUCUUAUGUCGAUAGAACAAUAAGUUAGCAUAGAACGGUUCAAAGUUAGAGAACUUCAAUCUACCUCAAGCAAUUAAUAUGCAUGUAAUUGCAUAAAAGCACGGUUCAAAGUUAGAGAACUUCAAUCUACCUCAAGCAAUUAAUAUGCAUGUAAUUGCAUAAAAGCAGCAGUAGAUUAAACUGCUUAAUGUACAGAUUAUGAAUUUAAAAAAAAAAAAGUAAAACUGACAAAUGAAGGAGGAUAGAGAUUGAAGUUUAUUAAUUAAUUACAUUCUUAUGUCGAUGGAAGAAUAAGUUAGCAUAGAACGGUUCAAAGUUAGAGAACUUCAAUCUAUCUCUAGCAAUUAAUAUGCAUGUAAUUGCAUGAAAGCAGCAGUGGAUUAAACUGCUUAGCGUACAAAUUAUGAAUUAAAAAAAUAAAAAAGCAAAAAGAAAAAUAAAGCUAACAAAUGAAGGAUGAUGGAAACAAAGAUUGAUAAUUUAUUAAUUAAUUACAUCCUGAUGUCGAUGGAAGAAUAAGGCUUAGAACAAUUCAAAGUUAGAAAACUUCAAUCUACCUUAAGCAAUUAAUAUGCAUGUAAUUGCAUGAAAGCAACAAUGGAUUAAACUGCUUAACGUACAAAUUACGAAUUAAAAAAAGAAAAAAGAAAAGUAAAGCUGACAAAUGAAGGAGGAUGGAAAUAAAGAUUGGUAGUUUAUUAAUUAAUUACAUCCUUAUAGAAGAAUAAGUUAGCAUAGAACAGUUAGUUUGAAAACUUCAAUCUACCUCAAGCAAUGAAUAUGCAGUUACAGCUACGCAAUCUACCUCAAGCAAUUAAUAUGCAUGGUUAGAGCUACGCAUACACGCUAGUGGCUCAGAGUAAACACCAACCCCACCUUCUUUACACAUAGCUUCCUUGUCCGCAUCUUUUUCAACUUACAUGUAUAAAUACUCCCUCACAAAUCACCUAAAUGCUCCAAAAUAAAAUCAAAUCAAUCAUCAAAAGCCUUACAAGUUCUCCUUUAUCUUUUUAUUACCUUCUCUCUUAAACGCGGCUAGCAAUGAGCUACGCUAAGAUGGACUCCUGCAUGAUCAUGUGCAUCCUCAUACUGGUCUCCACCAUGCCUUUGGGAACAUCAGCAAAUGCAAAGCUCAAAGUAGGCUUCUAUAAAUCAACUUGUCCAUCGGCAGAGUCAAUUGUGAGAAAAGCCGUAAACAAAGCUGUGUCUUGCAAUCCUGGCAUAGCUGCAGGUCUCAUCAGGAUGCAUUUCCACGACUGCUUUGUCAGAGUACGUAAAUGCAUGCUCUUAUUCAUCCUCAUCGUAAUUAAUUGAUUAUCAAGUACGUUUGUGCUUGGCUUGGUUCUUUUCGCUCAAUUAAUUAAAAUAAUAUGAAAGUAGCUGUCGUUCGUAAUUAACGUAUCUGAUAUAUAUAUCAUUUUUGUCUGCUGCAUGCGCAGGGUUGUGAUGCUUCCGUGCUGCUAGAAACCAUACCAGGAAACCCACCUUCAGAGAGAGACGAUCAUGUCAACAACCCAAGCUUACGAGGCUUCGAGGUGAUCGACGAGGCCAAAGCACAAAUUGAAGUUGUGUGCCCAAACACCGUGUCAUGUGCAGAUAUUCUAACUUUCGCUGCUCGCGACAGUACUUCCAAGGUCGGUGGCAUCAACUACGCCGUGCCAGCUGGACGCCGCGAUGGACGAGUCUCUCUCAGCGAUGAAAUUGCAGAAAAUCUCCCUUCUCCUACCUUCAACGCGGAACAACUAGCUGCAAGGUUUGCUCGUAAAGGAAUUUCCGUAGACGAGAUGGUGACACUCGUAGGAGCUCACUCCAUUGGUGUCUCUCAUUGCUCUUCAUUCUCCAACCGUCUUUACGCUUUCAAUGCAACUCACCCACAAGACCCUUCAAUGGAUCGUAGAUUCGCUAAUUUCUUGAAAAAUAAGUGCCCGCCGCCACCACCAACAGACGGCUUAGGUUGUACUAGGGACCCAACAGUGACACAAGAAUUUGUGACGCCAAAUCGUUUGGACAACAAGUACUACCGGGAACUGAGGAAUCGUCGAGGGUUGUUGACUUCGGAUCAGACUUUGAUGGACAGCCGGUUAACAUCAAAGAUGGUAUUGGACAAU